CCUACGGGUGGCAGCAGUGAGGAAUAUUGGUCAAUGGGCGCGAGUCUGAACCAGCCAAGUAGCGUGAAGGAUGACUGCCCUACGGGUUGUAAACUUCUUUUAUAAAGGAAUAAAGUGAGGCACGUGUGCCUUUUUGUAUGUAUUUUAUGAAUAAGGAUCGGCUAACUCCGUGCCAGGAGCCGCGGUAAUACGGAGGAUCCGCGCGUUAUCCGGAUUUAUUGGGUUUAAAGGGAGGGUAUAUGGGUUGUUAAGUCAGUUGUGAAAGUUUGCGGCUCAACCGUAAAAUUGCAAUUGAUACUGGCAGCCUUGAGUGCGGGUGAGGUAGGCGGAAUUCGUGGUGUAGCGGUGAAAUGCUUAGAUAUCACGAAGAACUCCGAUUGCGAAGGCAGCUUACUAAACUGCCACUGACAUUGAUGCUCGAAAGUGUGGGUAUCAAACAGGAUUAGAUACCCUUGUAGUC
Molecule: ribosomal RNA, 460 nt
Filed under: uncultured bacterium
Lineage: Bacteria
Description: partial 16S ribosomal RNA
Rfam family: Bacterial small subunit ribosomal RNA
Source: RNAcentral